RNAcentral lists this ribosomal RNA (800 nucleotides) under uncultured bacterium. RNAcentral's name for it is "bacterial SSU rRNA". It matches the Rfam family "Bacterial small subunit ribosomal RNA", at positions 8 to 815 of the family's 1533-position model. The record is from RNAcentral.
AGAGUUUGAUCAUGGCUCAGGAUAAACGCUGGCGGCGCACAUAAGUCAUGCAAGUCGAACGAACUUAACUCAUUCUUUUAGUUUGAGAGCGGUUAGUGGCGGACUGGUGAGUAACACGUAAGCAACCUGCCUAUUAGAGGGGAAUAACAGUGAGAAAUCAUUGCUAAUACCGCAUAUGCUAACAGUAUCGCAUGAUACAGUUAGGAAAGGAGUAAUCCGCUAAUAGAUGGGCUUGCGCCUGAUUAGCUAGUUGGUGGGGCAAUGGCCUACCAAGGCGACGAUCAGUAGCCGGACUGAGAGGUUGAACGGCCACAUUGGGACUGAGAUACGGCCCAGACUCCUACGGGAGGCAGCAGUCGGGAAUAUUGCGCAAUGGAGGAAACUCUGACGCAGUGACGCCGCGUAUAGGAAGAAGGUUUUCGGAUUGUAAACUAUUGUCGUUAGGGAAGAUACAAGACAGUACCUAAGGAGGAAGCCCCGGCUAACUAUGUGCCAGCAGCCGCGGUAAUACAUAGGGGGCAAGCGUUAUCCGGAAUUAUUGGGUGUAAAGGGUGCGUAGACGGAGGAGCAAGUUGGUUGUGAAAUCCCUCGGCUUAACUGAGGAACUGCAACCAAAACUACUUCCCUUGAGUGUCGGAGAGGAAAGUGGAAUUCCUAGUGUAGCGGUGAAAUGCGUAGAUAUUAGGAGGAACACCAGUGGCGAAGGCGACUUUCUGGACGAUAACUGACGUUGAGGCACGAAAGUGUGGGGGAGCAAACAGGAUUAGAUACCCUGGUAGUCCACACCGUAACGAUGGAUA